RNAcentral lists this ribosomal RNA (483 nucleotides) under uncultured bacterium. Its description in RNAcentral is "bacterial SSU rRNA". It matches the Rfam family "Bacterial small subunit ribosomal RNA", at positions 31 to 507 of the family's 1533-position model. The record is from RNAcentral.
GAACGCUGGCGGCGUGGAUUAGGCAUGCAAGUCGAACGGUAUGGACCUUCGGGGUUCAGAGAGUGGCGAACUGGUGAGUAACACGUAGGUUAUCUACCCUCAAGACGGGGACAACCCAGGGAAACUUGGGCUAAUACCGGAUGUGAGCAACUUUUAGUUGUUUGAAAGGUGGCGUAAGCUGUCGCUUGGGGAUGAGCCUGCGUCCUAUUAGUUAGUUGGUGAGGUAACGGCUCACCUAGGCAAUGAUAGGUAGGCGGCCUUAACGGGUGGUCGCCCACACUGGGAUUGAGAUACGGCCCAGACUCCUACGGGAGGCAGCAGUCGAGAAUAGUCUACAAUGGUCGGAAGACUGAUAGUGCGACGCCGCGUGAACGAUGAAUCCCUUCGGGGUGUAAAGUUCUUUUAUAUGUGAGCAGUGCUUCUUAUAUUAACAGUAUGGGGAGAGAGAUAUUAGCAUAUGAAUAAGCAACGGCUAACUCCGUG